GAUGAACGCUGGCGGCGUGCUUAACACAUGCAAGUCGAACGAGAAAUGGAGACGGAAACCUUCGGGCGGAAGGCUUCAUUUCGAGUGGCGGACGGGUGAGUAACGCGUGGGUAACCUGCCUCAUACAGGGGGAUAACAGUUGGAAACGACUGUUAAUACCGCAUAAGACCACAGCACCGCAUGGUGCGGGGGUAAAAACUCCGGUGGUAUGAGAUGGACCCGCGUUCGAUUAGCCAGUUGGCGGGGUAACGGCCCACCAAAGCGACGAUCGAUAGCCGAUCUGAGAGGAUGACCGGCCACAUUGGGACUGAGACACGGCCCAAACUCCUACGGGAGGCAGCAGUGGGGAAUAUUGCACAAUGGGGGAAACCCUGAUGCAGCGACGCCGCGCGAGUGAAGAAGUACUUCGGUAUGUAAAGCUCUAUCAGCAGGGAAGAAAAUGACGGUACCUGAGUAAGAAGCCCCGGCUAACUACGUG
This 478-nucleotide ribosomal RNA is filed under the name uncultured bacterium. Its description in RNAcentral is "partial 16S ribosomal RNA". It matches the Rfam family "Bacterial small subunit ribosomal RNA", at positions 28 to 507 of the family's 1533-position model. The record is from RNAcentral.